CCUACGGGAGGCAGCAGUCGAGAAUCAUUCACAAUGGGGGAAACCCUGAUGGUGCGACGCCGCGUGGGGGAAUGAAGGUCUUCGGAUUGUAAACCCCUGUCAUGUGGGAGCAAAUUAAAAAGAUAGUACCACAAGAGGAAGAGACGGCUAACUCUGUGCCAGCAGCCGCGGUAAUACAGAGGUCUCAAGCGUUGUUCGGAAUCACUGGGCGUAAAGCGUGCGUAGGCUGUUUCGUAAGUCGUGUGUGAAAGGCGCGGGCUCAACCCGCGGACGGCACAUGAUACUGCGAGACUAGAGUAAUGGAGGGGGAACCGGAAUUCUCGGUGUAGCAGUGAAAUGCGUAGAUAUCGAGAGGAACACUCGUGGCGAAGGCGGGUUCCUAGACAUUAACUGACGCUGAGGCACGAAGGCCAGGGGAGCGAAAGGGAUUAGAUACCCUUGUAGUC
This 446-nucleotide ribosomal RNA is filed under the name uncultured bacterium. RNAcentral's name for it is "partial 16S ribosomal RNA". It matches the Rfam family "Bacterial small subunit ribosomal RNA", at positions 338 to 795 of the family's 1533-position model. The record is from RNAcentral.